This 440-nucleotide ribosomal RNA is filed under the name uncultured bacterium. Its description in RNAcentral is "partial 16S ribosomal RNA". It matches the Rfam family "Bacterial small subunit ribosomal RNA", at positions 338 to 795 of the family's 1533-position model. The record is from RNAcentral.
CCUACGGGAGGCAGCAGUGGGGGAUAUUGCACAAUGGGCGAAACCCUGAUGCAGCGACGCCGCGUGAGUGAAGAAGUAUUUCUGUAUGUAAAGCCCUAUCAGCAGGGAGGAAAAUGACAGUACGUGACCAUGAAUCCCCGGCCAACUACGUGCCAGCAGCCGCGGUAAUACGGAGGGGGCAGGCGUUAUCCGGAUUGACUGGGUGUAAAGGGAGCGUAGACGGUUAUGUAAGUCUGGAGUGAAAGCCCGGGGCCCAACCCCGGGACUGCUGUGCAAACUGUGUAACUGGAGUACAGGAGGGGCAGGCGGAAUUCGUGGUGUAGCGGUGAAAUGCGUAGAUAUCAGGAGGAACACCGGCGGCGAAGGCAGCCUGCCGGAGCGUUACUGACGUUGAAGCUCGAAAGCGUGGGUAGCAAACAGGAUUAGAUACCCCAGUAGUC